This 2063-nucleotide long non-coding RNA is filed under the name Harpegnathos saltator (Jerdon's jumping ant). Its description in RNAcentral is "uncharacterized LOC112589697, transcript variant X2". Lineage: Eukaryota; Metazoa; Arthropoda; Insecta; Hymenoptera; Formicidae. The record is from RNAcentral.
UCACUUUUUGAGGAAAAAAAGAAAACGUCCAGUGAGAAGUUUGCGAGAAGUAGCGCUUUUGGCGAAGGUUUAUGAUCGCGUAAGCGCGCUCGCUAAUAAGAUUACCGAACAAUUCGUUCAACUGUCGUGGGCACGGCUGCCUCUGGCAUUUUUGCGGCAAGUUUUGCAGCAAGAAGAAAAAACGGUCAACCGAGCAGGUGAAGCAGACGGAGAGCGAGAAGGAGAGGGAGAGACCAAGUGGAAACUUUUCCAUCACUGGCCGAACAAAUCAGAGUUCAACGACACGAAAAGACAUCACUGAUACUCUCACGAGGAGAAAGAAAUUCUGUAAAUCUCGGCGUUAUUCUCACGAGUUAUUGUUUCGAACGUAUCCUCUCUCGACCUCUCGUUCCGACACGGCGGCUGCAUCUCCGACGAAACGCCGACUUCCUCCUCGCUUAAACGCGGGAACAUCGAUAUCCGAGGGGGAUUUCGAGUUUCGAGUCCGCACGUUCCCCAUUGGGUUGCUACUUCCGGCCUCGGUCAGCCAGACCGGAACACGCCGGGGCUCUCGGGUACACCGUGACGUCAGAGUAUCGUCAAAAAUUAGGGAGAAACCGAUCUGCAGGGGUCCCGCACCAGGAUGUAGUUAAUACCGCGACUUUAGCUCGCACCGAAGACGAUUACCAGCCCGGUUAUCAUUUUCCACGCUUAUGAACGGCAUAAUGGGAGACACGCUCACGAGGCAUGCGCGAUCGUGACCGAUCGGCUCUCGGAGGAAAACGCCUUGUGAAAGGAUAUUCAACAGCUGACACUCCGGCGGGGAGAAAGUAAGAGAGCGAAAGACAUCGGACGAAACGGACGAACGAAGAAGUCGCGAAGAAUAAGGCACGAAAACAAGGUUCGAAGCUCUACCCUUUAGCCAGCGGCGCGAGCACCUGGCAGCAUAUGCGUCAGGUUAAAAUGGAAGAGGACAAGCGUCCUCUCUCGUUCCGUGAAUUCUUUGCACGCUCGGGAGCGGCCGAAAAGUGCGGAAUCAGAAAAUGCGCGUGCGCGCGGCUUUCUUCGCGCGUCGAAAUUAACGGGAGCGCGCCGUGUGUCGACGCGGAUGGCUCGGUCAGCUGUUACUUGUGAUUCAUGCCGAGCACGUAUCAUCGGCGGACGACGAACGUCUACGAACGUUACGGGGUCCCUGCUUCACGCUCUUGCGUUCAGCUUCUUCUCGUCGAUCGCGAGUAGGAGCCUCUUAACCUCUUAACUGCUAAUGACGGAAAUAUCCGCGGAAAGGAAAGUGGGCCAAACUGUUAACCAGUUUUUUACUGCUAAAGGCCAUUACACACAAACGAACUUAAGCAGCAAGACGUGCAAGCAGUAAGCAAAUCGAUCGAUCACAAUCGAAAUUUAAGGAUGCCAUUUUAAAACUUACGAGAAUAAUUGAUUGUGAUUGGUCAGUUUCUUUACUGCUUAAGUUCAUUUGUGUGUGAUGGCCUUAAUGACUCAAAUGUGAGCACCAUGAAUAGCACCAAUCUGCUACGGAUUUACAUUGAACUUGAUACGUCCACGCUUUUUGGGUCGCCGACUGUGAAUCCGGAAUCAAAUUUAGGAAAUUUAUAACGAACCCAAUAUGGCAGCGAUGGAUUCUGUCCUCUCGUUCAGUUGGGGAGUAAAUUUUCCCACGUUCUAUGAAGGGUCUAGCUCUCGUUUUUCAAGAAAUUUUGUUAUAAACUAUGUAUAAAACAAUACAUGAAUAUUCAGAACUGACUUUAAAGAAAAUUUGUCCCUGGGAUCCGUAAUGAAUGAUUCGAAAAAUAUUAUACUAGUUUUGAGUGCAUACCCAAAAUGAAAUAACAAAGUUUGAAUGUCUUGAACCAAUCCGUUAUCUGCGACCAAAAAACAUGCCGAGUUUGAUACGUAUCCGUAAUAAAGUAUCAAAGUAGCUACUUGGAGCUGCCAUAUUGAAUUUUGAAUUCCGUCACUUACAGCUAAAAAGUUAAACAGUUUGCGCGUUUGCUCCAACUUUUCCGAGGAGCUUCGCAGGUGAAUUUGCUUUAAUAAGUAACUUUAAUGGUAGAAGUCAUCAUUUC